Molecule: non-coding RNA, 117 nt
Organism: Apodospora peruviana
Lineage: Eukaryota; Fungi; Ascomycota; Sordariomycetes; Sordariales; Lasiosphaeriaceae
Source: the annotation of a GenBank genome assembly
GCCCGUAUAGCUCAGUGGUAGAGCGCGUCACUCGUAUCGCUUCCUGCUGCUUCUUGCAGAAAAGGGACAACUGUUUGCGACAUGACGAGGUCCACGGUUCAAUCCCGUGUGGGGGCA